RNAcentral lists this ribosomal RNA (417 nucleotides) under Citrobacter freundii. Its description in RNAcentral is "bacterial SSU rRNA". It matches the Rfam family "Bacterial small subunit ribosomal RNA", at positions 34 to 447 of the family's 1533-position model. Lineage: Bacteria; Pseudomonadati; Pseudomonadota; Gammaproteobacteria; Enterobacterales; Enterobacteriaceae. The record is from RNAcentral.
CGCUGGCGGCAGGCCUAACACAUGCAAGUCGAACGGUAGCACAGAGGAGCUUGCUCCUUGGGUGACGAGUGGCGGACGGGUGAGUAAUGUCUGGGAAACUGCCCGAUGGAGGGGGAUAACUACUGGAAACGGUAGCUAAUACCGCAUAACGUCGCAAGACCAAAGAGGGGGACCUUCGGGCCUCUUGCCAUCGGAUGUGCCCAGAUGGGAUUAGCUAGUAGGUGGGGUAACGGCUCACCUAGGCGACGAUCCCUAGCUGGUCUGAGAGGAUGACCAGCCACACUGGAACUGAGACACGGUCCAGACUCCUACGGGAGGCAGCAGUGGGGAAUAUUGCACAAUGGGCGCAAGCCUGAUGCAGCCAUGCCGCGUGUAUGAAGAAGGCCUUCGGGUUGUAAAGUACUUUCAGCGAGGAGG